CCAUACAUGAAUAUAUAUAUAUUGUUUUGGUGUGGGGAUCUCAUUGGUUUCCAAGUUCUCAAACAGGAGGGUAGGGUGACCCCAGGGACUCCACCUAUAUUUCAUUUAAUUAGUUAUAAUUUGGGCCAUACAUGAAUAUAUAUAUUGUUUUGGUGUGGGGAUCUCAACCAUUUCCAAGUUCUCAAACAGGAGGGUUGCGGUGAUCACAGGGACUUCCCCUAUAUUUUAUUUGAUUUGUUAUAUUGUCCCAUACAUGAGUAUAUAUGGUUUAGGGGUAAGGAUCUUGACCAUUUCCAAGUUCUCAAACAGGAGGGUGUACAGUGACCUCAGGGACUCCC
Molecule: long non-coding RNA, 338 nt
Filed under: Mytilus galloprovincialis (Mediterranean mussel)
Lineage: Eukaryota; Metazoa; Mollusca; Bivalvia; Mytilida; Mytilidae
Source: RNAcentral